Non-coding RNA from Alosa sapidissima (American shad), 458 nucleotides. The record is from the annotation of a RefSeq genome assembly. NCBI's taxonomy places the organism in Eukaryota, Metazoa, Chordata, Actinopteri, Clupeiformes, Clupeidae.
GCUUCAUCACACUGCUGCAGGCAGUGUUUCAACACAGGAUGCCUCUCUCAGGCUGCUGGAUGAGGAUCUUUGUCAUUGUAGUGGCAAAUUGCAUCGUUGCAGUGUGCAGAGGAGAUUCUGUUCAUCAAACGGAAUCCAAUGUGAUCAGUACUGAAGGGGAGAUGGUGACUCUCGCCUGUGCAUAUGAGACGGCAGGCAAUCCUUAUCUUCUCUGGUAUAAACAGCAACCAAACAGUGUGCCCACUUACUUACUAGGCAGGGGCAAGUUUGGAUCUGGCCAUAACGGCACUGAGUUCAGUGAGAGAUUCAACUGCACCUUCUCCUCCAGCUCUGUUCCUCUGACAAUCAGGAAUCUGCAAGUGUCUGACUCUGCUGUCUACUACUGUGCCCUGCAGCCCACAGCCUUGCAAACAUGUUUGAAGGGUUCAGUUCAAGCUGUAUUUGUUUUUUGGAAAUGA